CAGCAGAAGUGUAUUUAUUUAAAGGGUUAAUCCGAAAUGGAACUGCCUCCUAUUUUCAAACUUAAUGAUUAUUGCGUAUUUGAAAUUUUUAAACAAAUCAAAUUAAAUUGUGAAGAAAACUCCAAUCAUACCAAUCCAGUGAUCCGAUACAAAGACAUAAUAUCGUUUGUGUCGUCCGAUUCCAAAUUCAAUGACAUUUUUUUACAGUGGAACGGAAUUCAAAACAAAUCUUAUAUCACUCAGUGGACAAGUACAACUAUAUACAUUUUUUUCCAUAGCCUAUAUGAAACACUAAAGAACCUUAAAGCAGCUGAAAAAAAUGAAUAUUUAAGCAUCUUUAAAAUGGCUAUCGAAGAAAAUAAUGUUGUUGGGACUUGUUUAAUGGAUUACAGUCCAACAUCAUACCAUCCUGAGCACGUAGAGAUAUUUGAAAUGACAACGCGACUGCUUCAACAAAAAAGAACCUUAAAUAAGUUGAUUCUUCGAAUGAAAGGUUAUACCCCUGAAAAUCUUCAGAAUUUCCGAUAUCUACGAAAUUUGCAACUCGAUGUAGACAUCGAGGUUAGUUAUUUAAUCGAAAUAAUUAAAUCAAAUCCAAAUCUGAACUAUCUUGAUUUCGAGUGCCCUGGAAGAAAUGGAAAAAUAUCGGAUAUAGCAGUUUAUUGUCAGAAACUGGAAGGUUUAAAUAUAGAAAUGAACCCAAACGUGGAUGCCGGUGACUACAUACCGUUUGCAAAAUUGCCACGCCUACAAAUGUGGAAUAUCCGAGGAACUCCGAUGAAAGAUUCUUUCCAUAAAUUGUUCCAGUCCUUGGCAGAAUCAACCACUUUAAAGGAACUCAACUUCAGUCAAAUGGAUCUCAAUCCCAAGGAAAUAAUAGAAUUAUCAAAUCUAAGGGCUUUAAGGUCGUUAUACUUUCAAUUGCAGAGUUCGAUUACUAACAUUGCACAGAAUUCAAACAAUGAACCAGACUCACUCACUCUCACUUCAUCGACAUUGAACCUACUCACUACUGGACUUCAUUUGGACUGUGUUGGAACUAUAAAAGAGGAUAUUUUAGCUAAAGAAAACAAAAUCAAUAUAUUUAAAAAUAUAUACACAUUGGAACAAUACAUACAAACCAAUAACAAAGACAUAAAAGAUUUUAUAGUUAGCGCACAAACUAAUAUAAAUAGUUUAUAUACUAUGAAAGAAAUGUGCAAUAAAUUGAAUAUUCCUACGGACAUUAAUAAAAUUUCAUCAUUUUUUGUGUUGAAGUCGUUCGUGUCCCUACUAAAAAAAUACGCUGAGAGCUUAAAUCUUUUGCCCAAAUUAAAAAAUCUCGAGCCUCUUCUAAUACAAAUGAAAAUAAAUAUACGAAAUGAGUUAAGUGAACUUCAAAAAACAAUUGAUGUUGAUUUGGUGGAUAUUGAACAACCAAUUCCACUGGAUCCUACUUCGCAAGGUCUUAUAUUGUUGUACUUAAUAGAAGGUUUAAGCAAAAUCUUUAACGUAUCUUUAUCUACGAAUGUGGAGUUUGAUAGAAUCAUAAAUAAUAGUGAAAUAAUUUUAUAUUUAACAACUAGUUUCAACAGAACGAUCUAAUAAUUCCAUUUCAUACCUUAUAUGAAUCACUAAAGCACCUUAAGUCUGCGGAUAAAAAAGAAUAUUUAAACAUCCUUAAAAUGGCUAUUAAAGAAAAUAAUAUUGUUCAGAUUUGUUUUUUGGAAUAUAAUCCAAAAUCGCACUAUCCAGAGCAUGGUUACACACUUGUAAAUCUAGAGAAUUUCCGGCAUCUACGACAUUUGAUACUCGAUGUAGACAUCGAGGUUAGUUAUUUGAUCGAAAUAAUAAAAUCAAAUCCAAAUCUGAUGGAACUUGAGUUCAUAAGCCCUGGAAGAAAUGGAAAAGUAGCGGAUGUAGCAAAAUAUUGUCAGAACCUGGAUGGUUUGAGUUUAGAAAUGAAUCCAAGUGUGGAUGCCGGUGACUACAUACCUUUUGCGAAAUUGCCACAUUUGCGAAACUUGGAUAUCAGAGGAAAUCCAAUGAAAGGCUCAUAAGUAGUGUAUCCACAGAUACACUUAAUGUAUCUGCAAAUACCCUAGAUAACGAAUCCCCCAUAAAACCAGUAUACC
This 2114-nucleotide unclassified non-coding RNA is filed under the name Drosophila ananassae. RNAcentral describes it as "GF27157". Lineage: Eukaryota; Metazoa; Arthropoda; Insecta; Diptera; Drosophilidae. The record is from RNAcentral.